AUGAAUUGUAUAUCAGCGGUUGAAGGGCUACAAUGGUGGUCUCAUGGCGCCACAUUUUGUGAUGACAUGCGUGUUCUUGAGCUGGGCGCAUAUGACGCAGUGUUGGGCAUGGAUUGGUUAUCCAAAUGUGGGUUGAUGACUUGUGACUGGGCUGGCAAGGUCUUGCAAUUCAAGCAUCAGGGGGCUGUAGUUACUCUCAAGGGUGUGGCAUCCAAGUCAACUUCUGCCCUACAAGAGAUGAGUGUGGAGCAAUUGGAUAAGUGGAUAUCGGGGAAUGAAGUUUGGGCUAUGGCUGUCAUUGACUCUAUUCCAGCAACAGAAUCUUCCGCAGGCGCAUCUACUCCUGUAGCACCUGAUUUACAAUUGUUGUUAGAUGCCUAUGCAGAUGUGUUUCAGGCACCCAAGUCCUUACCACCCCAUCAUGCCUUGGAUCAUGCAAUUACCCUCGAGAUAGAUGCAAGGCCAAUCAAUACUCGUCCUUAUAGGUAUUCACCUCUUCACAAGGACGAGAUUGAGCGCCAAGUAACUGAGAUGUUGGAAGCUGGGAUAAUUAUACCGUCCAUGAGUCCUUAUGCCUCACCGGUGCUUCUGGUCAAGAAGAAAGAUAAUACAUGGCGUUUUUGUGUGGAUUACGGGCGGUUAAAUGAUGCCACGGUAAAGAACAAAUUUCCCUUACCAAUAGUGGACGACCUCUUGGACGAAUUGGCAGGCACUAAGUUCUUCUCCAAGCUGGAUCUUCGGGCAGGCUAUCAUCAGAUUCGAAUGCGUGAGGAAGAUGAACCCAAGACCGCAUUCAAAACUCACCAUGGCCAUUUCCAGUUUCGAGUUAUGCCAUUUGGUUUGACCAACGCACCAGCUACUUUCCAAUGCGUGAUGAAUUCCAUAUUUGCCAAGCAUCUGCGCAAGUUCCUAAUUGUCUUCCUAGAUGAUAUUCUGAUAUAUAGUGCUUCUUGGGCAGAGCAUCUUGAUCAUCUUCGCCAAGUUCUUGAACUGUUGCGCCAACACCAACUAUUUGCCAAGCUGUCCAAAUGCUCAUUUGGUCAAUCUAGCAUCAACUAUUUGGGACACAUCAUCUCUGAUGCAGGGGUUGCUACAUAUCCUGAGAAAACUUCUGCAAUGGCUCGGUGGCCUAUUCCAAACACUGUCACUGAAUUGAGGGGAUUUUUGGGCCUCACCAGCUAUUACAGGAAAUUUGUGAAGAACUAUAGUUGGAUAUCAAAGCCUCUUACUCGACUGCUUACGAAGAAAGGUUUUCAGUGGAAUGAGCAAGCUCAACAAGCAUUUGAGGCUCUGAAGGUAGCUAUGAUCAAUACUCCAGUUCUAGCUCUACCUAACUUCUUCACUUCCUUUACCAUUGAAACCGAUGCUUGUGCAACGGGCGUGGGUGCGGUCCUGACGCAGAAUGGCCAUCCAGUAGCCUAUUUGAGUAAAGCACUUGGUAUCCAGAACAGCAAGCUAUCAAUAUAUGAAAAAGAGUUUUUAGCCGUGAUUAUGGCCAUUGAUCGUUGGCGCACAUAUCUGCAAAGAGGACCUUUUGUGAUUCUUACUGAUCACAAGUCCUUAUGCACCUUAUCUGAACAACAAUUGGGCACUGAUUUGCAGCGAAAAGCAAUGGCUAAAUUGAUGGGUUUGCAGUUUCAAUUUCGCUAUAGGCGUGGAGUGGACAAUGGUGCAGCUGAUUCUCUCUCUCGGGUUGGGCAUAAAAUGGGAUGCCAAGCGUUGUCAGUUUGUCAACCUGGUUGGAUUCUGGAUGUUACCCAUACUUAUGAAUUGGAUGUUGUUGCGCAAGAUUUACUCGCCCAGCUUGCCAUUCAUUCUCCUAAUGAGAAGGGUUUUUCUCUGGAUAGUGGCCGUAUUAAAUACAAAGGUCGUAUCUACAUAGGUGCGAAUUUAGCAUUGCAAACUCAGUUAAUUGAUGCCCUCCAUAACAGCCCAAUUGGUGGUCAUUCGGGGAUUCAGGCUACAUACCAACGCUUACGCAAGCUAUAUUACUGGGUCGGUAUGAAAGCUGCUGUUGAAAACUUUGUACACCAGUGUCAAGUUUGUCAACAGGCUAAACCUUUGCACACGAAGCCGGCUGGUCUUCUUCAGCCCUUGCCUAUCCCACAACAACCAUGGGAGGAUCUUACUAUGGACUUUAUCGAGAGUUUACCAUUGUCGGAAGGUUAUGACACUAUAUUGGUGGUGGUUGACCGUUUCACUAAAUAUGCCCAUUUUCUACCCCUUCGACAUCCGUUCACUGCAAGUUCUGUAGCAAAAGUGUUCUUGGAUUCUAUUGUCAAACUUCAUGGAGUCCCUCACUCAAUCAUCUCUGAUCGUGAUAAGAUUUUCACCAGUGCCAUGUGGCGUGACAUCUUCAAGGCUGUGGGUUCCAAGCUCAGUUAUAGCACCGCUUAUCACCCUCAAACCGAUGGUCAGAGCGAGCGGGUGAAUCAAUGUGUCGAACAAUAUCUUCGUUGUGCUGUUCAUGACCGACCUGGCAAAUGGAGGUCAUGGUUGCCCAUGGCCGAAUUCUGGUACAAUUCCAGUUUUCAUACUUCUACUGGAUGCUCUCCUUUCAAAGCUCUCUAUGGUAGAGAUCCUAACUUCGGUGGCAUGCCUAAUGUUUCGUUGGCUGUUGAGCAUCUUCCUUCCGGUUUGGCCCUCCCUUCCCAGGAUCAUAUUGAGCAGUUGCGUGCCCAUCUACUCCGUGCACAAGAGCGUAUGAAGAAACAAGCUGAUAAACAUCGUUCUGAGAAGGUGUUUCAGGUGGGCGAUUCCGUGCUCUUGAAGCUGCAACCAUAUGCUCAGUCUUCCAUUGUCAAUCGUCCCUGCCCUAAAUUGGCUUUCAAAUAUUUCGGGCCUUUCAAGAUUGCUACUCGUAUUGGUGCUGUGGCUUAUCGCCUAAUUCUUCCGGAGGGUUGUCAAGUUCACCCGGUGUUUCAUGUUUCCCAGUUGAAAGAAUUCAAUCCAAGUUUUGCUCCUAAUUUUCAGUCUCUGCCACCUCCACGUGUGUUCCAGGAUUGUUCAGCUCAGCCGUGCAUCAUUUUGCAACGAAGGAUCGUUCAAAAAGGUAACGAACCUGUGGUUCAAAUCCUUGUGCAGUGGUCAUCGUUGCCGGAGGAUUGUGCCACCUGGGAGGACUAUUAUGUUCUUCGCCGUCGUUUUCCAACUGCUCCUAUUUGGGACGAGGUUCUUCGCCGUCGUAUUGUGAUCCGUUUGACAACUAACAGGUUCAGAGGCGCAUCAAGGCAGGGUGUGUGUGUGUGUGUGUGGGGCCUGCGUGCCAGCGUGUAA
RNAcentral lists this ribosomal RNA (3276 nucleotides) under Triticum aestivum (bread wheat). RNAcentral's name for it is "partial small subunit ribosomal RNA". The record is from RNAcentral. Lineage: Eukaryota; Viridiplantae; Streptophyta; Magnoliopsida; Poales; Poaceae.